This is a small nucleolar RNA of Cephalotus follicularis, 102 nucleotides long. It matches the Rfam family "Plant small nucleolar RNA R71". Rfam says of the family: R71 is a member of the C/D box family of snoRNAs containing the C (UGAUGA) and D (CUGA) box motifs. Multiple nearly identical copies of this snoRNA have been identified in Arabidopsis, and it is thought to function as a 2'-O-ribose methylation guide for 18S ribosomal RNA. The record is from Rfam. Lineage: Eukaryota; Viridiplantae; Streptophyta; Magnoliopsida; Oxalidales; Cephalotaceae.
ACGGCAUGAUGGGGACAUUUUUUAAUGAGAUCCUUCAAUCUUUCCCAUGAUUCAUGGAAUUGCUCACUAUCGUGCUGUGAAAAGCUAGUGAGAGCUCGCCUU